CGUGUAGGCGGCUUGUUAUGUCGGGUGUGAAAGCCCUCAGCUUAACUGAGGAAGUGCGCCCGAAACUGGCAAGCUUGAGUGCCGGAGAGGAUAGCGGAACACCCGGUGUAGAGGUGAAAUUCGUAGAUAUCGGGUAGAACACCAGUGGCGAAGGCGGCUAUCUGGACGGACACUGACGCUGAGACGCGAAAGCGUGGGGAGCGAACA
This 207-nucleotide ribosomal RNA is filed under the name uncultured bacterium. RNAcentral describes it as "partial 16S ribosomal RNA". It matches the Rfam family "Bacterial small subunit ribosomal RNA", at positions 568 to 774 of the family's 1533-position model. The record is from RNAcentral.